ACCGCCCGUCACACCAUGGGAGUGGGGUUCACCAGAAGCCGGUUGCCUAACCGCCAAGGAGGGCGCUGACCACGGUGAGCUUACAUGACUGGGGUG
RNAcentral lists this ribosomal RNA (96 nucleotides) under uncultured bacterium. RNAcentral describes it as "partial 16S ribosomal RNA". The record is from RNAcentral.